RNAcentral lists this ribosomal RNA (829 nucleotides) under uncultured bacterium. RNAcentral's name for it is "bacterial SSU rRNA". It matches the Rfam family "Bacterial small subunit ribosomal RNA", at positions 62 to 902 of the family's 1533-position model. The record is from RNAcentral.
GCGGAUGGAAUUUCUUCGGAGAGGAAGCCUGCAUGACUGAGUGGCGGACGGGUGAGUAACGCGUGGGCAACCCGCCCUGCACAGGGGGACAACAGCCGGAAACGGCUGCUAAUACCGCAUGAGCGCACAGCUUCGCAUGGAGCAGUGUGAAAAGCUGCGGCGGUGCAGGAUGGGCCCGCGUCUGAUUAGCUGGUUGGCGGGGCAACGGCCCACCAAGGCGACGAUCAGUAGCCGGCCUGAGAGGGUGGACGGCCACAUUGGGACUGAGACGCGGCCCAGACUCCUACGGGAGGCAGCAGUGGGGAAUACUGCACAAUGGGGGAAACCCUGAUGCAGCGACGCCGCGUGAGCGAAGAAGUAUUUCGGUAUGUAAAGCUCUAUCAGCAGGGAAGAAAUUGACGGUACCUGAGUAAGAAGCUCCGGCUAAAUACGUGCCAGCAGCCGCGGUAAUACGUAUGGAGCAAGCGUUAUCCGGAUUUACUGGGUGUAAAGGGAGCGUAGGCGGCCUGCCAAGUCUGAUGUGAAAUACCGGGGCUCAACCCCGGGGCUGCAUUGGAAACUGGCAGGCUGGAGUGUCGGAGAGGCAGGCGGAAUUCCUAGUGUAGCGGUGAAAUGCGUAGAUAUUAGGAGGAACACCAGUGGCGAAGGCGGCCUGCUGGACGACGACUGACGCUGAGGCUCGAAAGCGUGGGGAGCAAACAGGAUUAGAUACCCUGGUAGUCCACGCCGUAAACGAUGAACACUAGGUGUCGGGGAGCGAAGCUCUCCGGUGCCGCAGCAAACGCAGUAAGUGUUCCACCUGGGGAGUACGUUCGCAAGAAUGAAACUC